UUGUUUUUUUGUUUUUUUGAGGCGCUGGGAUUGGAGCUCAGGGUAAUCGUUCUGCCACUGAUCAACAUCCUUGAGAAGUUGUGAUAGAGACCACAAAGCAGAAAACACUAUCAUCUGCCCCCCUAAGAAAAACAUGUAUCGAACUUUGCUGAGGCUGAGGACCAAGGAAACCAUUCUGAAGAAAAGCAGCCUGGCAGGGAGAACAGGAUGUGAGCAGCUUUUGCAGGGACUGAUACAGCACAAGCCACCUGCCAACUCUGCAUCCUGCCUCCAACAAGCUGGAGGAACUUAGCUCUACAGAAGCCGUGUUUCUGGGAGAAGGCUGGGCCCAGCUUCCUACAUGGGUGUUUGACAGAAAGAACCUGAGGCCGGUCCCUCCAGACCUAACCCGAACCCUGGCCCCAGGCACGCCUCACUCUGACCCGUGUCUUUCACAGGCCCCUCUGCAGAGCUCAAAGCUUCAUCCCAUGGAAGAAAUAUGAAGCCAGCAGCCGGGCCCCUUGCUUCCCUCUGCUCCCUGAUCCUUUAAUCGGAGAUGAUUAAAACUUCAUUCCAUUCUUAUUGGGAAACCAUCCAUCACCCUCACCAAGGAGCCCUGGCCGCGAGACAGCAGGAGGGCGGCUGGCAGAGAGGGGAGGCCGUGGGCCUGGAAGACCAGGGAGUACAGACCCCUGCCAGCCUCCUGGCCCCUGGGCAGAGCCAGGGUUGCCGGGCUGUGUGCUCUCGACGAGGACAAGGUCCCUGGUGAGGGACAGGAGGCAGAGGCAGUGUCCCGUGUACCAGGCAGGUGCUGAGGGGGAGCCUGGAGGCUGCUCCUGGGACCCCUGUGGGUGGGGCAGUGUGCCCACCAGUGGUGCCCCUCCUGAGCACCCAUGGGCGCAGGGGACUUGGUCCUUCUCCCUGGGUGGCUCCACGCUCCCUUCUCUUCCCAGAUGCCCACCCAGGCCCCAGCCCCAGACUCGCCCUGGCCUCAGGGAACCGCAGCCAGUCGGGGCCCUUUUAGGUGGCCUCACAGAAACAUGACAGCAGUUUGGAGCUUGCAGGAUUAUGGGUCCUUUUCUUAAUUAAAAAAAAUCCAAUUAAAU
Long non-coding RNA from Fukomys damarensis (Damara mole-rat), 1085 nucleotides. RefSeq lists it as uncharacterized. NCBI's taxonomy places the organism in Eukaryota, Metazoa, Chordata, Mammalia, Rodentia, Bathyergidae. The record is from RefSeq and is a predicted model, not a curated record. The transcript has 3 exons.